This 497-nucleotide ribosomal RNA is filed under the name uncultured bacterium. RNAcentral describes it as "partial 16S ribosomal RNA". It matches the Rfam family "Bacterial small subunit ribosomal RNA", at positions 28 to 507 of the family's 1533-position model. The record is from RNAcentral.
GAUGAACGCUGGCGGCGUGCCUAAUACAUGCAAGUCGAGCGAACAGACGAGGAGCUUGCUCCUCUGACGUUAGCGGCGGACGGGUGAGCAACACGUGGAUAACCUACCUAUAAGACUGGGAUAACUUCGGGAAACCGGAGCUAAUACCGGAUAAUAUAUUGAACCGCAUGGUUCAAUAGUGAAAGACGGUUUUGCUGUCACUUAUAGAUGGAUCCGCACCGCAUUAGCUAGUUGGUAAGGUAACGGCUUACCAAGGCAACGAUGCGUAGCCGACCUGAGAGGGUGAUCGGCCACACUGGAACUGAGACACGGUCCAGACUCCUACGGGAGGCAGCAGUAGGGAAUCUUCCGCAAUGGGCGAAAGCCUGACGGAGCAACGCCGCGUGAGUGAUGAAGGUCUUCGGAUCGUAAAACUCUGUUAUUAGGGAAGAACAAAUGUGUAAGUAACUAUGCACGUCUUGACGGUACCUAAUCAGAAAGCCACGGCUAACUACGUG